Malus domestica (apple) is the source of this 1739-nucleotide non-coding RNA. NCBI's taxonomy places the organism in Eukaryota, Viridiplantae, Streptophyta, Magnoliopsida, Rosales, Rosaceae. The record is from RefSeq and is a predicted model, not a curated record.
GCCGAUUCUUUCUCUCUCUUCCCACUCAUUUCUCUUUCUUUCUUUUCUUUUCAUCUAACUCUCUCGUCCCUUUUCCCUCUUUAUGGCACAACAAAUGCAGACAGCAGCUCGCCGCUGUCCUACAGCAGACCACGACAUCGCCACCAUCUCCGCAACCCUUUCAUAACCACGAAUCCUUUUCUAACAUCUGUUAUUCGAAACUUGGAGGAAAAACCUUCAAACCAAGGAGCUCCGACGCGAAGGAGGAACUCUGGCGAUACUCCUCGGUGUCCUCGAACAAUGUAAGAAUAACGGAUUCCAUGUCCGGCUAGCUGCAGAGAACUCCGGCAAAGAUUCUGGCCAAAUAUUUUCCGUUCUGACGAGAACAGGCCCAUUUUGUUCCAUCUUCAGGUUAUCUAGACCUAGUUCGAGCCUUGCAUGCUCGAUUCCAGGACUGCUGCAAUAAAAUCCAACGAAAACCCUUUUCGAGUUCGUGAGAAUCCAGCAAAAUUCGACUUUCCUAGCCACCUAGGGGCCUUAAUUCUGGUAUAAGCUUAUUCGGAUUGACGAAUGACAAGGCUUAUCGAGAGCAAGCAUGCUUUGGUUACGUGAGUGGGUCUUUUCGUUUUUAGUAAAUAUGUGUAUAUAUGAUUUUUCUAGACAACUGUUUUUAUAUAUUAUGAUGUGACAUGUCAUGUUUAUCUUCUUAUAAGAUUUUCUAUACUUUAUAUUUUUAUUAACUGCGAGUAUAAAAUGUGGCAUGACGUAUUUAUUCAUUAUAUAUGCUCAUUGUUGCAUGUGUGCACGAUGUUUAUUAGUUAGUUGUACUGUCAUGGGUUAAGGACUAGCUUUACAUGUAUGUUAACAUGCACCAUUUACGUUCGUUUUGGAUCCAAAGUUAGGUGUCAGCCUGUCCUUAGGUUUGUUGUUAUGUGAUGCGCAUAGCACCAGCUUCACGUGAUGUAGUACUAAAUGUAAAAUCUACACCCAGCCUAUUCAUGCAGCUACUUUCUGUAUGGCUUGUGUGCCUACAUAGAUAAUGAGCAGUGAUUUUCAUAGCAGUGAAUUUUUAAUGAUUUUCAUAACUGCAAUUUUAUGACAGCUAUUUGAGUUUUGAUAAUGAGAUAUUUCGUAGUAGCACCCUAUACCCUUUAACUCAUUUGUGCUGCAGGUUCCCUACAACCUAUUAUUAUAUUAUUACUUUCGGAAAUCAUAUACUUAUUUUAUAGUGAGGGGUUAUACAUUUUCAAAAAUGUUUCAGAAAACUUUAUUUUCUAGGCCCACUCACCUUUGUUUUAGCCCCUCAAGAACGUAGAGAUUGAGCUAGUGGGAGUACGAGGUUUUAGUGGAAGUAGCUAAUUGUCCUGCAGUCAAAGUAGGCUGCUUAUGUACUAAAUAAUCAUCCUUUACGGAUGAGACAACUUUUAUCUUUCUACACUAUGCUCUGAACUUCACGUUUUGUAAUAAGGGUUACCACCCAGUCACGUUGUGCACUCUGGAUUAUUUAUUUAAAGUUUAAAUUUAUCCUCACUUUUACACAUCAACCUUACUUUACGGCUUCGUCACCUUCCAACUAGAACAUGACUCGAAUAAGAGGAUACCUGCAAAUAAAGAUAUGACACUACAUAAUAAUAAUAAUAACCCCUAAUGUAACAAGAAACUAAACGAGACGGAAGCACCAAAUACAUAAACCAAUGGUCUAGUGCUGCAAUAUCAUAUGAGAGAUGAAAGCUCUCAAACUAAUUGUGGGAUACAAAAAU